Bos indicus x Bos taurus (hybrid cattle) is the source of this 1101-nucleotide long non-coding RNA. The record is from Ensembl. NCBI's taxonomy places the organism in Eukaryota, Metazoa, Chordata, Mammalia, Artiodactyla, Bovidae.
AAUCCCUGGGGUGGGGGUGGGGGUUGCCUCUCCCUUGGGGCUUCUCCACGUGGCUCGCCGUGGGCACCCGCAGGGGUCCACCCCGGGCCGAGGAGGGGCGAGGUCCGCUAGAGCGGUCCUCCUCGCCCCUCACCCGUUUUUCUUUCCCCAGUUUGGUUUACCCAGCACUGUACUCUCGCUCUCGCUUCGCCUGGCGGCCCACCUCUGUUUCUUCUUUUCCUUCUUGUUCACCCACCAGAUGAAUGAAUGGAUGGGGUUUGUCUUCUGCAGGAUGCCGAAGUGAGCUGCUCUUUGGUUCUCGAGUGGAAACGGAGUGGGGAGGGUCCCUGGGAACGCAACUUGGGGGCAGUUUCAGAUGGUUCCCGACAGGCGAGAGGAGCAAAGAAAUUCACUCAUCCGGAAAGCAGAUCGAGAAAGCCAGUGUGGCCGGAGCUGCGAUUUCCCUGCAAGGGUCGCGGGAGGAGGGGAGGCGAUGCGAGUGUUCCUGUUUGCGUUCGCUUGCGCCAGCUUCUCCAGCCCCUCAAGCACAAAUGGGGAAAAGUCAGCUAGGAUUAUUGACUAGAAACACUACGUUAGAAGCCGGGGCUGCCCCAGCAACUGGACAGGUGCCAGCUCUGAUCUCCAGGCUGGGACCUGCAGGCAUACUUGGAGACAUUAAACCAUGAAGCAAAGAACCAAAACCUUUCACCAAUUUUAUUUGAUCUAGAAACAAUUAAGUAAAAGUGCUGAAGUCCAUGUUAUAUGGGGAACAGGAAACUUCAAAAUAAGCAGAGAAAGCUGGGGGCUGGUUUCCAUGGUAGCAGCUUGCAGUAAAGCCUAAUUCCUUGUGACAAAGAGGUCAUCUUCCUUUUCAAAUGUGUUUAUGAUCCCUUUGUGCAUUGUAUUUUGGCAUAAAGGCUUCUAUGCCCUGUCAGGGCUCCGCAGGCAGCUCUAUGACUCUCAAGGGGGUUUAUUGCCUCCUUGGUAUAAGAAUAGCAGAAAGAAGCCAAACUAGUGCCAGUGUGACAAAAGAUAACCUCACGGGCUUGCUGUUGCUUUCUUUCUGUUAACACAUAAAUCUUGCUAUGCACUGAAAUAAUUAAAAAAUGAGAGAUUCUGGGA